UGUCCGUCAUGUAAAUAAUGUUUGUAAAAAACCCUAUCGCUGAGUAGCAAAACUAUAAUUAGUCCAACAGACCUUAACCGUCUAUAAACAUAUAUAAAUUUAGGCGUAUACCAACCCACUCACUCCAACUGAUACAAGAUUAAUUAAAAACGGAUACACCUUCCUAGCCAAUCAAAAUUCAGUAUCCUAAUUAGAAUAAAACAAUAGCUUGAACCGGAAACAAUUUUGUAGCCAAUCAGAUCGUACAUCAAACAAUCCUGUACUGGGCUGAAGGCGCAGUACAGUUUGAGAUUCCAUUUCUCGAUCAAUUUGGUGGAGACCGUACUUGAGUGAAGGUGUUAUUUCGAGGAAUUCGAGAGGUUUAUAGAAGCGCGAGUAGUAACUUUAAAACAAGCUUGCUUAGAGUUUUGAUGCGCGUUCGUGACUUGGAUUGUGAUAGUUUUGAACUAGAAUUGGUCUGAAUUAAGGUCCGUUAACCCAUUCAACGUGGGUGUUUGGUCUGGGGACCAGUGACACACGGGCGUAGCUGGAAGGCAAGCAGCUGGUUCUCCGCCAAAUUUCAUCCGGGAACGCAACCAUCCCGUCGAUAUUCGUCCGGGAAAACACGAAUCCCGCCUACCGGCCAUCGCUACAUCGGCCGAGCUGUGCGGCCUUCCAAUCCUUCCCGCCCUCCGUGGUCCAUGCGGUCACAGUCACACCGCUAGAAUCGUUCCGGAUCGCCAUCCUUCAAACCGUCGCAUCCGUCGUUGGAACACCGUCGUGGCUGGCCAGCGAUACCA
Topomyia yanbarensis is the source of this 779-nucleotide long non-coding RNA. RefSeq lists it as uncharacterized. Lineage: Eukaryota; Metazoa; Arthropoda; Insecta; Diptera; Culicidae. The transcript is spliced from 3 exons. The record is from RefSeq and is a predicted model, not a curated record.